RNAcentral lists this long non-coding RNA (1297 nucleotides) under Homo sapiens (human). Its description in RNAcentral is "HSALNT0367194". The record is from RNAcentral. Lineage: Eukaryota; Metazoa; Chordata; Mammalia; Primates; Hominidae.
ACUUAAGAAUAGAAAAGCAGCAUUCUGAACAGCAAUGCUCAUCACAUAAACAUGAAGUUUCCUCCAAAAGGAAUGAUGACUAAUGCUUUGAGGAAACAGCAGACGUCAGACAGCAAGCCCAGAAAAACCUGCCAGCACCAAGAGGGUGUCCUCAACAGGCGCCUGGGGGACAUAUUAUUCUAACUAAAGAGACCAGAGCUUCCCCAGGAAGGGAAGAGGAGAGAAAUGAAGAACGUCUGUGUUCAUGUUUGCCAAAAACAAAAGUCUGAGAAAUCUCUGAGAGACUCUACAUGGGAGGAAAAGUGCAACCCACUGGAGAAAGAGAGGGACUCCGAGGAAGGAGAGAGAGAAGAGGUUGGAAUGAAAGAAAAUGGACAAUCUGUCAGGCUGAACUUUUACACUUAAGAUCAGGGUUCAAACUAGAAGAUGAUAAAAACAAAGGAAAACAAAGCCGACACCGUCCCAGGAGUAACAUACCCUCUUAGAUCACUGUAAAAUGCAAGAAUCAUGCCCUGACACAAAGCUCAAAUUUUGCAAUUUUCAGAGGUUUCCUGGUAACUUUCAUAUAAAUGUACAUAAAUAUCAUGUCAAAGCAAAAGCACACAGUCAUGAUAUUGACUUCUUAUUCUUCCCUGCUUCUUGACAAGAUAAAUCUAAAAAGUGGCACUGAAAAUUGAGAGAACAGCUGAAUAACAAAACCUGACUAGUAAAGUACUUGGUCCUCAUUUUGCAUUCCCCGUUUUUGAAGAAUUCAAAUCAGGAAAUUUCCGUUAUCUAAAUCACAGGUUUCAAUAGGAUUAAGAGAAGAAAUAAGAGAAGCAACAAGGUGCACAGAAAGCCAGCUCUGACCUUUGUUAUUUCAUAUUGAAGCUCUUACUUUGAGAUGGACCAGUAGAUGAAGAGAGCCAUUAUUCAGAGGAGCUGCUCUUGCUCUUCAAAUUUCAGUUAAUAUGACCACAUUAGAAUUAUUUUAUUUUUAAACUUCAGUAACAAGGCUCUCUUUCCUGUUUUCAACACACAUGUUUAGAAUAAUCAGUGGAAACUCUGCAAAUGGAUGAAACAAGCAAAUCCCCCAGGACUGUUUUGUGACUGAUUUUCUUACUUCUCACCUAUCUAAUAUGAACGGUUUAGAUUUUGCUAAGCUCAAUCAUAAACUCAACUCUAGGGGGAAGAAAGUCUCAAGCAUAUGGUUCAACCAACUGAAAAUGCUAUACAAUCAAAAGGAAGUAUAGGCUAGAGGUUUACCAUUGGCUGCUUGUACAUUCUAACCAGUAUUAAAGAUUAACUCCACAACAAA